AGGGCGAAAUUUAAAAGCCUUCCAUCUCUCCCCCCAGACUGGCUCUGCAGUGUCCUCUCUGACUGACUACAAGGAAAUCUGUGCCUGGGUGUGAAAAGCGGGACCGGUGCUCAGGUGAGCCUGCGCAGCGGCUACGAGCCAGAGUCCAAUCCUGUAGAGGUAUGCGGAGAUGACUGCAAAGUCCUGAGCAGCCUCACCUCUUGCGGAGACCCUGCGCGCUCCUGUGACAUGCUCAGCAUUGCUGCUGUGCUCAGCUUUACCCCGCACACAGCUGUCUUGACCCUGCUGCCAUCUGAUGCUGCUUUUCAAAUUGCUGAAGUCAAAUUAGGGUAAGUAGAUAUAU
This 343-nucleotide long non-coding RNA is filed under the name Dromaius novaehollandiae (emu). Its description in RNAcentral is "lncRNA (ENSDNVG00000009952.1)". Lineage: Eukaryota; Metazoa; Chordata; Aves; Casuariiformes; Dromaiidae. The record is from RNAcentral.